RNAcentral lists this transfer RNA (125 nucleotides) under Fusarium piperis. Its description in RNAcentral is "tRNA-Met". Lineage: Eukaryota; Fungi; Ascomycota; Sordariomycetes; Hypocreales; Nectriaceae. The record is from RNAcentral.
AGCAGUUUGGCGCAGUGGCAGCGCGGUAUGUCCCCUCAUCUCCACAACAUCUGAAUUCCUUACUAAUUCCAUCAAUAGCCGGGCUCAUAACCCGGAGGUCGACGGAUCGAAGCCGUCAACUGCUA